AAGACUAUAGACCUGCGGAGUACCUGCGGAGGGAUCAUUAGUGAACGCCCUCACGGGCUUAUAACUAUUCCAAACCUCUGUGAACCGUGCCCUUCGGGGCUAUUUUACAAACAUGGUGUAAUGAACGUCAUAUAUCAUAGCAAAACAAAACUUUUAACAAUGGAUCUCU
RNAcentral lists this unclassified non-coding RNA (169 nucleotides) under soil metagenome. RNAcentral describes it as "partial contains 5.8S ribosomal RNA, internal transcribed spacer 2, and large subunit ribosomal RNA". The record is from RNAcentral.